This 479-nucleotide ribosomal RNA is filed under the name uncultured Acidobacteriota bacterium. RNAcentral describes it as "bacterial SSU rRNA". It matches the Rfam family "Bacterial small subunit ribosomal RNA", at positions 141 to 628 of the family's 1533-position model. The record is from RNAcentral. Lineage: Bacteria; Pseudomonadati; Acidobacteriota.
GAAUAACACCGGGAAACCGGUGCUAAUACCGCAUAUUCUGACGAGGUCCGCGGAUUUCGUCAGGCAAUCAUGAGUUCGCUAUGAGCGGGGUCCGCGGCUGAUUAGCUAGUUGGUGAGGUAAUGGCUCACCAAGGCAACGAUCAGUAGCCGGUCUGAGAGGACGGUCGGCCACACUGGAACUGAGACACGGUCCAGACUCCUACGGGAGGCAGCAGUGGGGAAUUUUUCGCAAUGGGGGCAACCCUGACGAAGCAAUGCCGCGUGGAUGAUGAAGUCUCUUGGGACGUAAAAUCCUUUCGACGGGGACGAAACCGCAAGGUUGACGGUACCCGUAGAAGAAGCCCCGGCUAACUCCGUGCCAGCAGCCGCGGUAAUACGGGGGGGGCAAGCGUUGUUCGGAAUUACUGGGCGUAAAGGGUGCGUAGGCGGCUCUCUAAGUCGGAUGUGAAAACUCUGGGCUCAACCCAGAGCCUGCAUCU